UGAACGCUGGCGGCCGGCCUAACACAUGCAAGUCGAGCGGAUGAAGGGAGCUUGCUCCUGGAUUCAGCGGCGGACGGGUGCGUAAUGCCUAGGAAUCUGCCUGGUAGUGGGGGAUAACGUCCGGAAACGGGCGCUAAUACCGCAUACGUCCUGAGGGAGAAAGUGGGGGAUCUUCGGACCUCACGCUAUCAGAUGAGCCUAGGUCGGAUUAGCUAGUUGGUGGGGUAAAGGCCUACCAAGGCGACGAUCCGUAACUGGUCUGAGAGGAUGAUCAGUCACACUGGAACUGAGACACGGUCCAGACUCCUACGGGAGGCAGCAGUGGGGAAUAUUGGACAAUGGGCGAAAGCCUGAUCCAACCAUGCCGCGUGUGUGAAGAAGGUCUUCGGAUUGUAAAGCACUUUAAGUUGGGAGGAAGGGCAGUAAGUUAAUACCUUGCUGUUUUGACGUUACCAACAGAAUAAGCACCGGCUAACUUCGUG
This 482-nucleotide ribosomal RNA is filed under the name uncultured bacterium. RNAcentral's name for it is "partial 16S ribosomal RNA". It matches the Rfam family "Bacterial small subunit ribosomal RNA", at positions 30 to 507 of the family's 1533-position model. The record is from RNAcentral.